This is a long non-coding RNA of Acanthopagrus latus (yellowfin seabream), 376 nucleotides long. RefSeq lists it as uncharacterized. The record is from RefSeq and is a predicted model, not a curated record. Lineage: Eukaryota; Metazoa; Chordata; Actinopteri; Spariformes; Sparidae. The transcript has 2 exons.
ACAACCACUGCUCUGCUUUCUCAUCUUGCAGGUGAUGGACGGUUGAAAGGACGAAUCACCAAGAAGAGCCAAACAAUGGAGAUGCGCCGCCGCUGGAGCCUGAAGGGAAAGCAAUGAGAGCAGCCAGGAGCUGAAAGUGUGGGCAGUGGAAUGGUCUGAUGAGGACGAGUUGGACGACAGCUUCCUGAACUGAAUCCUGAUUUCCUGUAAUCAAGUUUUGUGGACUGACAUGUUGUCUGCCUGGUGCUUGGGCCAGGAGAGGAAGGCUCUGCAGCGGGUGAUCCAUCCAUCCACAAAGCAUCAGUGACAGAGGAGAGGUGAAGUGUCUGCUCAGAGCUUAAAGAAUUUCGAAAAAGACUAAAAGAACCAGAAGUAA